UACGAAGGGGGCUAGCGUUGCUCGGAAUUACUGGGCGUAAAGCGCACGUAGGCGGCUUUGUAAGUUAGAGGUGAAAGCCUGGGGCUCAACCCCAGAAUUGCCUUUAAGACUGCAUCGCUUGAAUCCAGGAGAGGUGAGUGGAAUUCCGAGUGUAGAGGUGAAAUUCGUAGAUAUUCGGAAGAACACCAGUGGCGAAGGCGGCUCACUGGACUGGUAUUGACGCUGAGGUGCGAAAAGCGUGGGGGAGCAAACAGG
RNAcentral lists this ribosomal RNA (255 nucleotides) under uncultured bacterium. Its description in RNAcentral is "partial 16S ribosomal RNA". It matches the Rfam family "Bacterial small subunit ribosomal RNA", at positions 524 to 776 of the family's 1533-position model. The record is from RNAcentral.